RNAcentral lists this ribosomal RNA (221 nucleotides) under uncultured bacterium. RNAcentral's name for it is "partial 16S ribosomal RNA". It matches the Rfam family "Bacterial small subunit ribosomal RNA", at positions 326 to 539 of the family's 1533-position model. The record is from RNAcentral.
ACGCUCGACACCUACGGGGCAGCAGUAGGGAAUCUUCCACAAUGGGCGCAAGCCUGAUGGAGCAACACCGCGUGAGUGAAGAAGGGUUUCGGCUCGUAAAGCUCUGUUGUUGGAGAAGAACGUGCGUGAGAGUAACUGUUCACGCAGUGACGGUAUCCAACCAGAAAGUCACGGCUAACUACGUGCCAGCAGCCGCGGUAAUCUGAGCGGGCUGGCAAGGC